AUUGAACGCUGGCGGCAGGCCUAACACAUGCAAGUCGAACGAGUGGCGGACGGGUGAGUAAUGCCUGGGCAACUGCCCGAUGGAGGGGGAUAAAUACUGGAAACGGUAGCUAAUACCGCAUACCCUCGAAUGUGCCCAUAGGGGAUUAGCUAGUAGGGGGGGUAAAGGCUAACCUAGGCGACGAUCCCUAGCUGGUCUGAGAGGCGGACCAGCCACAUUGGAAGUGAGCAACGGUCCAGACUCCUACGGGAGGCAGCAGUGGGAAAUAUGGCCAAAUGGGCGAAAGCCUGCUGCAGCCAUGCCGCGGGUAUGAAGAGGGCCUUCGGGUGGUAAGGUACUUUCAGCGAGGAGGCGUUACUCGCAGAAGAAGCACCGGCUAACUCCGUGCCAGCCGCCGCGGUAAUAC
RNAcentral lists this ribosomal RNA (406 nucleotides) under uncultured bacterium. RNAcentral's name for it is "partial 16S ribosomal RNA". It matches the Rfam family "Bacterial small subunit ribosomal RNA", at positions 29 to 526 of the family's 1533-position model. The record is from RNAcentral.